GAGUUGUAAUUUGUAGAGGAUGUUUCGGGCACCGCUCCGGUUUAAAUUUCUUGGAACAGAAUGUCAAAGAGGGUGAGAACCCCGUCUUGGACCGGCAGUAGGGCCCAUGUGAAACUCCUUCGACGAGUCGAGUUGUUUGGGAAUGCAGCUCAAAAUGGGUGGUAAAUUUCAUCUAAAGCUAAAUAUUGGCCAGAGACCGAUAGCGCACAAGUAGAGUGAUCGAAAGAUGAAAAGCACUUUGAAAAGAGAGUUAAACAGUACGUGAAAUUGUUGAAAGGGAAGCGCUUGCAACCAGACUUGCGCGCGGCGGUUCCCCCUUCCUUUUGGUUGGGUUAUUCCGCCGUGUCCAGGCCAACAUCGGUUCUGGGGGUCGGUUAAAGGCCCGGGGAAUGUAUCUACCCUUCGGGCGUAGACUUAUAGCCCUGGGUGUCAUGCGACCUCCCGGGACCGAGGAACGCGCUUCGGCUCGGAUGUUGGCGUAAUGGUUGUCAGCGACCCGUCUUGGACACCCGCGGGCACCACAACAGUCUA
RNAcentral lists this ribosomal RNA (531 nucleotides) under Exophiala dermatitidis. RNAcentral describes it as "partial large subunit ribosomal RNA". It matches the Rfam family "Eukaryotic large subunit ribosomal RNA", at positions 140 to 664 of the family's 3401-position model. Lineage: Eukaryota; Fungi; Ascomycota; Eurotiomycetes; Chaetothyriales; Herpotrichiellaceae. The record is from RNAcentral.